This 779-nucleotide ribosomal RNA is filed under the name uncultured Bacillota bacterium. Its description in RNAcentral is "bacterial SSU rRNA". It matches the Rfam family "Bacterial small subunit ribosomal RNA", at positions 8 to 756 of the family's 1533-position model. The record is from RNAcentral. Lineage: Bacteria; Bacillati; Bacillota.
AGAGUUUGAUCCUGGCUCAGGACGAACGCUGGCGGCGUGCCUAACACAUGCAAGUCGAACGGAGAAUUUCAAUAAGCUUGCUUAGCGAAAUUUUUAGUGGCGGACGGGUGAGUAACGCGUGGGUAACCUACCCAUAAAUCCGGGACAACCCUUGGAAACGAGGGCUAAUACCGGAUAAUCUUAGAGCUUGGCAUCAAGCAUUAAGGAAAGGUGGCCUCUGAAGAUGCUACCGAUUAUGGAUGGACCCGCGUCUGAUUAGCUAGUUGGUGGGGUAAAGGCCUACCAAGGCGACGAUCAGUAGCCGGCCUGAGAGGGUGAACGGCCACACUGGGACUGAGACACGGCCCAGACUCCUACGGGAGGCAGCAGUGGGGAAUCUUCCGCAAUGGACGAAAGUCUGACGGAGCAACGCCGCGUGUAUGAUGAAGGUCUUCGGAUUGUAAAGUACUGUCUUUGGGGAAGAAUGACUGAUUUGAAAAUAUUGAGUCAGUAUGACGGUACCCAAGGAGGAAGCCCCGGCUAACUACGUGCCAGCAGCCGCGGUAAUACGUAGGGGGCAAGCGUUGUCCGGAAUUAUUGGGCGUAAAGGGCGCGUAGGCGGAUCGUUAAGUCCGGUGUGAAAGAUCAGGGCUCAACCCUGAGAGUGCAUCGGAAACUGGGGAUCUUGAGGACAGGAGAGGAAAGUGGAAUUCCACGUGUAGCGGUGAAAUGCGUAGAUAUGUGGAGGAACACCUGUGGCGAAGGCGACUUUCUGGACUGUAACUGACGCUGAGGCGCGA